Molecule: ribosomal RNA, 253 nt
Filed under: uncultured bacterium
Lineage: Bacteria
Description: partial 16S ribosomal RNA
Rfam family: Bacterial small subunit ribosomal RNA
Source: RNAcentral
UACGGAGGGUGCAAGCGUUAUCCGGAUUCACUGGGUUUAAAGGGUGCGUAGGCGGGCAGGUAAGUCAGUGGUGAAAUCUUUGGGCUUAACCCGAAAACUGCCAUUGAUACUAUCUGUCUUGAAUAUUGUGGAGGUUUGCGGAAUAUGUCAUGUAGCGGUGAAAUGCUUAGAGAUGACAUAGAACACCUAUUGCCAAGGCAGCAAACUACGCAUAUAUUGACGCUGAGGCACGAAAGCGUGGGGAUCAAACAGG